CAGUCGCCACGGGAAUACGAAGGGUGCAAGCGUUAAUCGGAAUUACUGGGCGUAAAGCGUGCGUAGGCGGUUUCUUAAGUCUGCUGUGAAAUCCCCGGGCUCAACCUGGGAAUGGCAGUGGAUACUGGGAAGCUAGAGUGUGUCAGAGGAUGGUGGAAUUCCCGGUGUAGCGGUGAAAUGCGUAGAGAUCGGGAGGAACAUCAGUGGCGAAGGCGGCCAUCUGGGACAACACUGACGCUGAGGCACGAAAGCGUGGGGGGCAAACAGGAUUAGAUACCCGAGUAGUCCCUGUCUCUUAUAC
Molecule: ribosomal RNA, 301 nt
Filed under: uncultured bacterium
Lineage: Bacteria
Description: partial 16S ribosomal RNA
Rfam family: Bacterial small subunit ribosomal RNA
Source: RNAcentral